UGCCAACAUCGGUGUGGACUACAGGAC
This 27-nucleotide non-coding RNA is filed under the name Homo sapiens (human). The record is from RNAcentral. Lineage: Eukaryota; Metazoa; Chordata; Mammalia; Primates; Hominidae.